GGUCCCUUAUCGGGGCCAGUUUGGAGCCUGGUCUUUGUUUUUCCUCAUCUAAAAUGAGACUUCUAAGCAGGUUGUCGCAGGUUCGAGUCCUGCAGGGGUCGCCA
Molecule: transfer RNA, 104 nt
Filed under: Gillisella vitis
Lineage: Bacteria; Pseudomonadati; Pseudomonadota; Alphaproteobacteria; Hyphomicrobiales; Rhizobiaceae
Description: Agrobacterium vitis (Allorhizobium vitis) tRNA-OTHER
Source: RNAcentral